UUGAAUCACAGCUACAGCUGCUGGCCUCUGCCACAGCCACAGUAAUGGGGAAUCCAGGCUGCAUCUGUGACCUAUGCCACAGCUCAUGGCAAUGCCAGAACCCUGACCCACUGACUGAAGCCAGGGAUCGAACCUGUAUCCUCAUGGAUACUAGUCAGAUUCCUUUCCACUCUGCCACAAUGGGACCUCCUUAACAUUUAAUGGUAAUGUUCCUCUUGCUGUUAAAAAAAGGGGGGGGGGAAGGGGGCUGAUUUUAUGAGAUGGAAACCAUUACACACUGCAGCUCUCUGAUGGAAAGUGGAAAGCUCCAGACUGACUCAAGAAGAAAGGUCUGGAGGCUACAAAGUGUCUGGGAUCUCUUGCCCUCUAGAGUAGGAGUCAGCAAACUUUCUGUAAAGGACCAAAUAGUAAAUAUUCUCUGCUCUGCAGGCUGAGAAGCCACAUGCUCUCUUGUAGCCAGAAGGCAGCUCUAUACCACCAGUGAGCCGGACUAUGUCAGCAAACUACUGAAACAGGCCACGAACUGGAUUUUACCUGCAGGCUAUGCUUUGCCAACCAACCCUGGCUGUACAAGGAAGAUUCCAAAGAGGCUGUGGUGACUGGAGCCAGUUCAUUUCAGCUUGUAAGAGCCUGCUGUUAGUGCCUCCUCCCAAAAGCACGUCUAGUGAUUCCAUGUUAGCAAUUUGAAGUCAGCCAUGCUGGGAGUCACCACACCAUGGAAAUUGGCCAGAGCUGUGUAUGAGAGGUCCUUCCCCUUCCCAUACAUCCCCAAGGAACUAGCUGUUAAACAGUCUCCAGCCCAGCAUCAGGUGUAUAUCUGCAGAGACUGAGGUAGAGAGUGGAGGUGCGUGAGCCAGACGCCACACUGGAAUAAGAAAAGAAAUUACAUCAGUUCCUGUUUUAUCUCACCCUUAUAAAUUAACUAAUUUUCUGUGAGUUUCACAAAGUGCUAUUGCCCACAUUACAAGACAGGUCCUCAGAGUUCCCACUGUAUCUCGGCAAGUAAUGAAUCUGAUGAGUAUCCAUGAGGAUGCAGGUUUGAUCCCUGGCAUCGCUCAAUGGGUUAAGGAUCCAGUGUUGCCAUGAGCUGUGGUGUAGGUCACAGACAUGGUUCAGCUGUGGUGUAGGCCUGCAGCUGUAGCUCUGAUUUGACCCCUAGCUUGGGACUUCCAUAUGCCACAGGUAUGGCAAUAACAAGAAAGAAAGAAAGAAUAAAAGCUGUGUCCUCAAUUUUGUUUAAUGGAUUGGAGGACCUGCUGUACAGCACAGGAAACUCUACUCAGUGUUCUGUGAUAACCUAUAUGGGAAUGGAUAUGUGAAUACGUGUGGCUGCACCACGUGGCUGUUCAGCAGAAAUUAACAUAGCAUUAUAAAUUAACUGUAUUUCAAUAAAAUUAAUUUUUUUAAAAAGAUGCUAGAAGGGGCAUGGAACGGAUUCUCACUCUGAGCCUUUGGCAGAAUCCCACGCUGCCAACAGCUUCACUUUAUACUUUCAGCCUCCAAAACUGUGAGAGAAGAAAUUUCUGUUGCUUUAAGCCACCUUGUGGUUUUACUGUGUGACAGCAGCCCUAAGAAAGGAAGGCACUGGGAUUCUCAGAUAUAAUAGGUAAGGGCAAAAACUUCUUCACUGAGCACCCAGACAGUUCGGAAAAUAAAACCCAAAACACCUGAGUGAGUUUUAUACAACUUUUUGUAAGUGCACCUGCUUUGUGGGGGGGUGGGGGUGGGGGCAUCAUCUUAGCUGUAAUAAUAAAAAUAUCAUCAUUUAUAAAACAACCGUUCCCUCUCUCCCUCCCUUUCCUCCUUUGUCCUUCUGGGCUUCCCUCCUCAUUCCUUCAUAAAACACAUUUCGGAUGUCUACAGGUUCCAGGCAUUAUGGUAGGUUGUUGGGAUACAUCAGAGAACAGAAUGCUCAUGGAACUUACACCCCAGUUGAUGAUGCAAACAUUACAUAUCAUACACAAGCAAAUUAUACAGUAUGUUAGGAGGACAAAAAAAUAAGGCCAGGGAGAGGGGAUUUGGUGAUGCUGGGGCAGGGAGCUGCUCAUAGCAUUAAGUGGGAUACCAACCCUUGUAUGACCACCUAAACCAUUCUUGAGUUUCCAACCAUAAUGUCAACCUCACCUCUCAGAGUCUUCCCUUCAUGAGACAGCCCUGGUUCAAGACCAGUUGGAAUAGCUGUGUCUCAGUUGCAAAGAGGUUCUGUAAUGGUAUGAAGAAGACACACCCACCCCACCCCCAAGCAUCAUUGUCACCUGGACACAUUUUUAUACCCUGAAAAUGCUAAAUCCUUUCUCCUUUUUGUUUCUUUCCUUUUUUUAACUGCUGACCUGGGACUGGGCAUCAGAUCAGAAAGAGAAGAUGCUGACACUGUCAGAGCUCUUCCCUUGACCCUCACAGACUGGGAUCCUGUCCUAAUCCUAGUUACAGCUGAGGGGACUCAGGAAGGCAUGGCUUUGUCUUCCUGUCUGGCACCCACACAUCUUUAUCUUGAGAUCAGCUUUACAGCUUGACUUUGAGGACCCUCAUGGACCUCUUGGAACUAUGAGAGAGGAUCUUGGAGAGAGGUGGGUUCAAGGUGUCCUGCCUUUGGCUGAGCGAAAAAAGACACAUGAGCCCAAAGCAGGACAGCCACAUGUUUUCCUUAGAACCUGAGUCUUUUCCUUAUCCAUCUCAGUGGUGGGGCCAAAGCUUCUCUAACUCCUGUUAUUUUGGAUGCCCUGGAAAUUUCUGACUCUGGUUUCUUAGCAUGUCCUUCAUGUGCUAAGCAGAAUAAUGGCCCCCAUAGAAAUCCUAAUCUAGACCCUGUGAAUAUAUGUACCUUACAUGGCAAAAGGGACUGUGCAGAUUUGGUUAAAUUAAGGACCUUGAGGAGUUCCCACUGUGGCUUAAUGGUAACAGAUCCGACUACUAUCCAUGAGGAUGCAGGUUCAAUUCCUGGUCUCACUCAUGCUCAUUGGCUUAAGGAUCUGGCAUUGCCGUGAGCUGUGGUUUAGGUUGUGGACACAGCUUGGAUUUAGUGUUGCUGUGGCUGUGGUGUAGGCCAGCAGCUACAGCUCUCAUUCAACCCCUAGCCUAGGAACUUCCAAUGCCAUGGGAGCAGGCAAAAAAAACAAAAUAGGGCUCUGGAGAUGGGGAUUAUCCAGUUGGGCUUGCUGGAAUCAUGAGUUCUUAUAAGUGAAAGAGGAAGGCAGAUGGUCAAAGUGGUGCAGCAUGAAAGACUCAACCAGCUGUGGCUGACUUCAAUGAUGGAGGAAGGAAUGCAAGCAUCCCCUGGAAGCUGGAAAGCAAGAAAAUCAAUUCUCCCCUGGAGCCUCUAGAAGGAAUGCAGUUCAGCCUAUCCCUUGGUUUUAGCCCAGUGACACCCAUUUCAGAUGGACUUCCAGAAAGGUAAGAUAAUAAAUUACGUUGUUGUAAACCACCAAGUCUGUGGUACUUUGUUACAGCAGGAAGAAGACACAAGCACACCCCAAAUCCUCCUAGUAAGUGCCUGUUUGUUUUAGCAUGCUGUCUGCUUAAAGAAGCUUGACUCAAGUAUCCUUGCUUGUAACCAAAGAGCCAUACCCAGGAGAAGACUAAUUUCCAAGGCUCCUUCCCUCCACACCCCUUCUGUUUCCAUGUCAUGCAUUUCUGGCAGGCCAGCCCUCCUAUCACUCUUUACUGGGAUCUGAGCCCAGCUUAGUGAUAAAACCUUACCCUUGUGGCAGGCCUCCCAGAUGCCAACUGAUUGCUCACCUGGGUUGUUGUCCCUGGACCCAGAUUCCUUGUGUCUGUGCCUUGCCCACACUGUGAUCACACUGCUCCUUAUCUGGGACCCAGCCCACACUUCUCCACUUAUCACUGGCUGGAUGAUGACUUGCCGUUGCUUUUCUUCAUGUCACAUGGUGCCCCCAACACAGUCUAAACCACUUCCAUGGACUUCAACACCACCCCACCCCUCCAGUUGCCCAUCAGACCCCAGUAGGCAUGGCUAAUUUAGGAGCAGAGUACUAACAACUGGUCCCUCCUGGUGCAUGUUCAGGCUUGGCCUGGACAAAUUAGACAAACAGGACACUGCCUAUUGACAUCUGAUGGGUGGUUCAAGGUAUGUAGUACACAGAGUUUAUUUCAUCUAAGAACUCAACAAUGAAGCAAUUCUUCUUUCUAUGACCUAAAAAUACAAAUUCCCAAAGCACCAAUAAGGAGCAGAAGUUAAUGAGUAGCUUCCAUGUUCUUGCACAACUAAUACAAGUUAGAGAGGAAAGGACAGGAAGGCAUUUGAUGGGACAGUUUCCUAUUUACUGCUCUUACUGGGGUUUAUUUCAGCUUUGCCAACUGGCUGGAAUGAAAGAAAAUGCAAUGUAUUUCCUAUUCCUGCAUGUAUCUCUCACUCCAACAGGUUCACCAGCAUUAGAGGUGAUGUAGACAAAGCCUCUGUGUUGGGUGGGUAAGUGCAACUGACUCUAAGGUGUUCCAGGAACACACUUUAGCUCUAUAAAAGAUGAAGGGCCUACAUGGUGGUUCCUUCUGGGCAGCCAAGUUGAAAAGUUUCUUCUUCUACAAGGCACAAAAGAUUGA
This 4557-nucleotide long non-coding RNA is filed under the name Sus scrofa (pig). RNAcentral's name for it is "lncRNA (ENSSSCG00030047481.1)". Lineage: Eukaryota; Metazoa; Chordata; Mammalia; Artiodactyla; Suidae. The record is from RNAcentral.